GAUGUGCGCAAGCACUUAUCCAAUACAUACACCUGUGCACCGUGGUCUUCGGACCUUUUUACAAACAUUGUAGUCAUGAACGUCUUUUAUUAUAACAAAAUAAAACUUUCAACAACGGAUCUCUUGGCUCU
This 131-nucleotide unclassified non-coding RNA is filed under the name rhizosphere metagenome. RNAcentral's name for it is "partial ribosomal RNA internal transcribed spacer region". The record is from RNAcentral.